Molecule: long non-coding RNA, 1091 nt
Filed under: Salvator merianae (Argentine black and white tegu)
Lineage: Eukaryota; Metazoa; Chordata; Lepidosauria; Squamata; Teiidae
Description: lncRNA (ENSSMRG00000020222.1)
Source: RNAcentral
CUGGGGCUGCGGCUGCGGCUGCGGCUGCGGCUGCAGCAGCCGUUUCUUUCCUCCAGUGGGGGCUGCUGCCCUGGGACAGUGGCUGAGGAAGUGGCCUUGCUGACCCCCUGCUUGCCUCAGGGUCCGGCCAGGGAGUCCGGGGUGGCCAGCAACCUCCCCUUCCCUCCCAGCGAGCCAGUGUGGUGUGCUGGGCCUGUGGCAUGCCAGGAAGGACUGGAGAGAGCCUGGAGGUGGCUGGAACAGCAGUGGGGGCCUUGCCUUCCCCCGGGGGAUCCCCCCUCAUGCCACUCUGCAACCCGAGGUACAGGAAUCUGCCAGGAGGAUGAGAAGAGGAACAAGGCCUUGAAUAAUUCUUCUCUUCUCCUGGUCUUCUCUGAUUCUGCUGAAGAAGGAANUGGCUGAAGAGUGCCUUCCAGAGUCUUCCUGAGAUAAGAGAGGAGAAAUGAGGAAGCAGGUGCAGGCAAGGAACGGGAAGGGCAAGACAGCAAGCCAAGCUCAGAUGGAAGCCCCGUUGGCUGCANGGAGCAAUAGGAUUUCCAAUGCCUCCCUUGCCCACCCCACUCUCCCUUCAAGCUGUCCGUCUCCUGGACCUGCUGCUCAUGAGGGGGCAGGCAACUUAAAGGCAGAAUCUGGCAGAACUGCGAUAGAUUUGCCCCCAACUGAAGGCCUACCAAUCACUGUUCUUAAAAGAACGCUGGCCUACCCCAAAGGAUCCAAAUGGGGCAAGGAGGAUGGUAAAGGACUCCACAAGCAAGAUCUGCAACAGCGAGAGGAAGGAUAUCACCGAAGGUCAGAAAAUUCCAUAGAGUAGACACAGCGUGAUGUCAGUAGGCAGCAGGUUGGAAGUUUCUCGUAAUGCAGCCUUCCAAAAAUGGCUCCAUCUUGGCCUUUCAGCCAUUUCCAUCCGCCCCAGCUGGCAGAGCAUCGACUGAAGUGUUUUUCCACUACUAUUAAUCUUGCAUUUGCUCUCCCUAACNGGCACAUUUCUCUUCCCAGCAGUCUGGACCACCGCGGGGGCCACCUCUAGGAAACUCUUUGCAUCCUCAGGAGCCUUGAAGUGGCGCUGAGUUCUAGCUGGUGGUGCACAUUCA